RNAcentral lists this unclassified non-coding RNA (4335 nucleotides) under Penaeus chinensis. RNAcentral's name for it is "ankyrin repeat and SOCS box protein 13-like, transcript variant X1". Lineage: Eukaryota; Metazoa; Arthropoda; Malacostraca; Decapoda; Penaeidae. The record is from RNAcentral.
CAAAUAUCAGCUGAUUUCCGAAACGAUCCGCGUUGAGGGGAUUCCGGACAAGAAUUUCUUGGUUGAACCGAUAGUGAACAAACAUCUGUCCCGGUAAACGUAAACUCUAAUGAAGUGAUUAAGUGAAUACAUCGAUGUUAUAAUAACCCCUGAACAGCAGAGAGUCCUGGUACAUCCAAACUAAUGGACUGUGAAACAAAAUAACAGAAGACGCAAAAACAGUGCCAGCGGUAGCGAAGCAAACCUACCUUCAAAGCAACAUUGCAACAAAUUUCACGUAAUUCCAACCAGGAAUGAAUAACAACACUGAACCCAAUACACAAGAAAAAAUCCUCCUCUGGCUGAGAAGUACUACAUCAGAAGACACCUGAAGGUCUUACAAAGAUUAAGAAAAUAGAUAUCAUUAUACAAGGAACUAACUGAUAAGUAACACAAGAAAACCUUCAAACAACAGAAAGAAGAUUUCAGGAAACAAGAUCUAGGGAAUAUAGACAUAAAAAGUCUUAAACCCUAUGAUAGAAUAAAGAAGAGGAGAUUCCUUAUGAACGCCAUUAAAGGAAAAGAGAAAGAAAGAAGGAGGGAUAAAUUAUUUCUUAUGAAAACAUAUGAUAUCUAAUAAAAGUAGUGCUUGCUCUAAUUGACUAUUGGUUUUAGUGCUAGAAAUAAUGUUUAUAGCAUUGUACUGCAACUGCUUGUGGAUGCAAAAAAUUGAAACUGAUUAGUUUAUUGAGUUAGAAGAGCAGAUAGCUGUUUCAUUCAUAAAAGUGACUGUACAAGAAAGAAGUUAACUCAGAAAUCCUUUAUCAUUAACUCUGCUUGUGAACUCGAACCUGCUGAGGAAGUGAAAUUACAACUGUAAAAGUAAAAGAAACAUGGAAGAAUACUCAAGAACCAAUAUGUUUCCAUUACACAAUGCUGUUGCCUCAAGAAACUUUAAUGAAGUUCAGCGUCUACUGGCAGAUGGACAUGAUGUUAAUGAACUACAUUAUGACCGUGUCACACCACUUCACAUGGCAUGCUUGUCAGGAGAUUUGAAGACUACACAAUACCUUCUAGACAGGGGUGCAUGGGUUGAUGCACAGAGCAUAGACAACAGUACUCCCCUCUGUGAUGCAUGUGCUGGUGGCAGCCUAGAAUGUGUAAAGCUGUUGUUACAACAAGGUGCCUCAGUUAACCCGCCAUUACUGCUUUCUACACCUCUACAUGAAGCAGCACUGAGAGGACACACACAGAUUGUUGCACUGCUCAUUCAAGAGGGUGCCAGGUUGAAUUGUAAUGACCUUCACUAUGGAACACCGCUGCAUGCUGCUUGUUCGAUGCAGAGACCAUCCAUAAGCUGUAUUCACCAUUUGCUGAAAUCGGGUGCUUCUGUGAAUGCACUCAAGAACCACAAGACCCCACUCCACCUUAUUGCUAUGAAUAGCAAGAGUGAAGCAGCAACUGAACUGUUAAUAGCAUAUGGAGCUAAUGUGUACCUUAAAGAUUGCUCAGGCUGUACUCCACGAAAUCUUGCUGGGCCAAAUACUUCAAUGGAAGCCAUUCUUUCUGCAUUUGAAAGAGACCCAAGGCCACUGACACAAUGGUGUAGAUUAGCCAUCAGAUCACAGCUCGGCCCAAGAGGCAUUAAGCUGAUUGACCAAUUAGAAGCACCUACAAUUCUUACCAGAUUUCUUCAGUAAAAAAUAAUAAAGCAUAUCAUAUUUCAUAUUUAUGACAUGUGAAAAUAUAUUUUAUGAUUUCUAAUAUAUUUAAUUUCAAAUGUAACUUAUCUCAUAUUUCUGGCAUUUUGUGUUGAAGGGAAACAUGAGUCCCGUCAACCUAACAUAUUGUGUGUGUGUGUGAACCCUGUGUCCCCAGUUGUGUGAAAUUGAUAAGAGGGUUGAAAGAGGAAGCAUCAUUGCCUGGUGCUCCUCUUCAUAGUAUUAAGAAAUUUCUUCACUUUAAACUUGACAUUCAAAAUUAUCAGGAUAAAGAUAGAGAGAUUAGAAUUUUGAAUUGGCCCGAAAGCAUCCAGUAAGAAAAGACCACAGGAUUUAAAGAACCCGGAUCUAUGUGAUAGGUAAAGUUGAUCUAUGUGUAAGGGAUAGUGGAUCUAUGUGACAGGGAUAGUGGAUCUAUUGAUAUGAAUGUUACAAGUAGACAGAUGGCAUUAUUUGCAGUUAAUUUUCUUUUUGUUUAAAUCUUGUAGGAAAUAUUUCAGAAGCAAUGUUAAAUGAUUCAGAAGUAUUUUCACAGCAGGAUGUUAGGAAAAGCAAAAACAAAAGAAACAUGUUUAUUUAGAAAAGUAUUCCUUUAAUGACAGUUCCAUUGGUUGAAAAUUUGUUAGAAAGUCCUGUGAGUUCUAGAAAAAGACUUGAGGAAAGCGUAUAUUGCUAAAGAGGCAGCCGAAGCCUCAAGAACAUUACUUUUAAUGGAUCCACUGGCUAAAGAUCAUUGGGGCACAGUGGACACAGUGUAACACAAAAUUAAAGAUGCAAAGGAUCCAGUAAGUAAUUAUGAAAGACAAAAAAGUAUUUCUCUCACAAGAGUCAUAGGUCUCUAAAAUUCCAUGGUUCAAACAAAUAUACUUAAUUUAAGCGAGAUAAGCAAUUUACAGAAAGAUCACAGUGGACAGAUUGGUCAAAUUACCAUUUUCAAAUGACAACUGCAGCAUGUGCGUUUGACUGUAUCAAGGGGCAUUUAUGGCGUCGGUCGAUAUGAAGAAUAUAUUGGCACAUUCCAUUAUAUCGGAGGUUCAGAAAGUUCCUAGUUUUCCCAGUAAAUUCUCAAAUUUACAGAUUCAAGUUCCUUCCUUUUAGCCUAAGCAUAACCAGUUCACACACAUCCAACUUCACUAGGAUUCAACUUUUUUUUUUUUUUUUUUUUUUUGGACAAUUGGCUGAUUAUAGCAAAUUCAGUAGAGGACUGAACGUAGGCUCAGAGAUGGGUUUUCCUUUUAAUCUAAAAAAAAUCGGAAUUGCCUCCAACAAGAAUGUUGUCAUGAUUGGGUCUGGAAUGGAACUCGAAAGAUCAAAGUUACUGUCAAAAGAUAAUUGAAAGAAAGUUUGGGAAAAAGUUUCCGGGUCCAUCCAUACAAAGAGAAUGUCUCAAAGACGAUGGGAAAGCCUAAUUGGAUCCCUAAACUAUACAUCAGAGAUAGUGAAUCAAGGUCGUUUGCAUCUGAGGAGACAUAUCCUGGAAGGCAGAGCUUUGUUCUCAGCAAGGGACAAAGAUCAGAUUGACUUGUUUCCCCGAUGUUUAAACCUCUCAGAUGGUGGUUACAAGAUUGUCUACAUUCACUAAUACUUUGGGGUCUUCCAAAUCCAUCCUUAAUAAUCAUGACAGAUGCCUCAGAUUCGGGCUGGGGAUUCAAGACCUCAGAAUGGAAUCAAGGAUUUGGCAGAUGAACAAACCAAUGGUUAAAGAAAUAUAUAAACAUUAGAGAGUUAUAAAUAGUAAUAGUAAAAAUACAUCUGAAAAAUAUUCCUUAAGUAAUAAAUCAAACAAUUCACAUAUUGUCGGACAUACUGGCAAUACAUUGUAUCGGUCAUCAGGAUUCAUCCUGAACUCGCUCUUCUUCGAGUAUCGGAGUCUUUCCUAGAGUUGGCUUAUUGGGAAGGCUGUCAUCUUAAGGCAUCUCAUCUCACAAGAAAAGAAAACUUUUGGGCAGAAGCACUGUUCCGCAACGAACCAUUGGCAGUAAACUGGUCACUUAUAAACCAUGUGUUCCAGGACAUUGUGGGUCGAUAUGGUCACCCAGAAAUAGACGAAGUUGUUUAUCACCAGGUCCUAACCCACAAUAGCAGGGGGAUCAGACACAUUUAUGGUAGACUAGAACAGAAUAGGAGUAUAUUUACCUCUUCCCUCCACCACUAACAAAGAUAAUGCUCCAGGUGGUGUACUACCUAAAGACUUUCCAAUGUCAGGUAAUGCUAAUAGCUCCCCUAUGUAGAACCCAAUCUUGGGCCACAACACUCCACAACUGGUGUCCACACUCAAUUCCAUUGGGGAACAAGGUGACAGACUAUGGAUAGAUUCAAGCAAUAACAAACUCUGUAAUGCUUUGGACUUGUCUAAGAUUAUAUGCCGGGAAAUUGAAGAAGUGGUUCCUAAUUCAGUUUUUAAAGGUAAAUCGGGUCAGAAUCUGUCUUCAUUCCUAGCAUUUAUAAGAUCAUUUGCUUUAACUACAGUGCAAAAUCUGCGGUGGAUUCUUUUGUGAAUAGAUAUUGCACUAUGUAUAUACCAAAUACUCCAUGUGUUGCAAUGACCACACAUAAGUAUUAAGCUAAAAUGGAUUGGUUUGUAUUAAGUAAUACGGAAAAAGUGUAUAAUUGAAUAAAAGUUGGAGGGUAUAAA